This 253-nucleotide ribosomal RNA is filed under the name uncultured bacterium. RNAcentral describes it as "partial 16S ribosomal RNA". It matches the Rfam family "Bacterial small subunit ribosomal RNA", at positions 524 to 776 of the family's 1533-position model. The record is from RNAcentral.
UACGAAGGGUCCUAGCGUUGCUCGGAAUCAUUGGGCGUAAAGCGGGUGUAGGCGGCCAACUAAGUCAGAAGUGAAAGCCCCGGGCUCAACCCGGGAAGUGCUUUUGAAACUGGUUGGCUUGAGUGUGGGAGAGGAUAGUAGAAUUCCUGGUGUAGUGGUGAAAUACGUAGAUAUCAGGAGGAAUACCGGUGGCGAAGGCGGCUAUCUGGCCCAACACUGACGCUCAGACCCGAAAGCGUGGGGAGCAAACAGG